This 72-nucleotide transfer RNA is filed under the name Ovis aries (sheep). It matches the Rfam family "tRNA". From Rfam's summary of the family: Transfer RNA (tRNA) molecules are approximately 80 nucleotides in length. Their secondary structure includes four short double-helical elements and three loops (D, anti-codon, and T loops). The record is from Rfam by way of RNAcentral. Lineage: Eukaryota; Metazoa; Chordata; Mammalia; Artiodactyla; Bovidae.
UCCCUGGUGGCUCAGACGGUAAAGCGUCUGCCUGCAGUGUGGGAGACCCAGGUUUGAUUCCUGGGUUGGGAA